Molecule: long non-coding RNA, 4627 nt
Filed under: Fragaria vesca (wild strawberry)
Lineage: Eukaryota; Viridiplantae; Streptophyta; Magnoliopsida; Rosales; Rosaceae
Description: long non-coding RNA (FVES_LNC000562)
Source: RNAcentral
AACAAAAUCGUUGUUAGAUUAAUUACAGGUAAAUAAUGAAAUGAAUAUAGUAUUUGUAAUUUUUUUUUUCAAUAAAGGAAAUUGUAUUGCUAAAACAAUGGCCAAAAUGCACGUUAAAUCAUAUGUCGGGCUUUAUACAAUCUGUCGAUAGAGACCUACAAACAUCAUGACCGGUAUCCUCAUUAAUAAUAAGCUCGAGAAAAGCUUCGAUUCAAGCAUAUGAAAUAACACAUAACACCUAAUUUUCGGACAAGAGUAAACUAGCUACCUAAGACCUCAAUUUGUGUACACCUAGUAAACUAAGAAACCUAGUACGAUUGCUUCAUCUCAUGUUCGAGCGACAUUGCCUGAUAUCACUACUGGAAAAUGCUUCUUAGCCGACGAAACAAAAUCAAUCCGUCAGCUAAUUAAGACAAACUUAAGCGACGAAACAGCUUUCCGUCGUCUACGAUUUGACUUUCGUCGCCUAAGGUACACUUAGGAGACGAAAACCAACCCACCGACACAUUCCGUCGUUUAGGAUUAACUUAGGCGACGAUUCAACUUUUGUUGGCUAAGAUCUAUCGCCUAGGUCGACACCAACAAUCUCAUCAACCCCGGACUGACCGUCGGCGCCCAUCCAUCCUCAAAGGCAAUCUUCGGCAACCCAUGCCCAAUCAACGUCAGAAACAAACCCCAGACACUACCAGAGGAAAGGCUUUAGCCGACGAAAAUAAAAAAACCAGGCCAACGAAUUAUUUUUUCAUCGGCUAAUGUGGACUUUAGCCUACGGAAUUUUCCUUCGUCGGCUAAUUUAAAUUUUUAUCGGCUUUGGUCAACUUCCUUCGUCUGAAUAAUCUUUUUCGUCGGCUAUAAUCUGUGAACUUUAGUUAACGAAAUUUUUAAAAGUUUAGCCGACGAAAAAUAUAAUUUUGUCGGCUAAAGUGCUUUAAUUUCGUCGGCUAAAGUGUCUUAUAUUUGCAGAUCUUGACAACAACUCAUCUGGGAAAAAAAAACUAUACGUAGAACCUUCAAACUCAAAAAAGUCGUGAAAUAAGAUAUGACCAGAAUGGUGAAAUACGACUAUAGUUGAAAAAUCACGGUAUUCCGGUAAAUUCUCGGUGCCGAUAGUUGCGGUCAAUGCAAUUUACCCUUAUUAUUCACUAUGCUGCAAAUUUGGUGUUUGGAGUCCGAUUGACUAUUGUGAUACCUUUUUGGAAGUGUAACGGCCGAACGAGUCAAACUCAUUGUUAUGCUAUGACAUAUGGGCUUUUUUGGCCAUCCGAGUCCGUUUAGGGCUUCAAAAUGCAGUUUUCUUAUUUUCGAUUAGAGUUGACCGUUUCGAUCGAGCCCUUAACGUUGUCGAAUCUAGUUGAAUUUUUUACCAUAGACAUCUUUCGUCAUAAUGAUCAUAUCUGAUGGUCAAAUUUUGUAUGUGAAUUUUAGUCAUCGGAAUCACAACGUGUCUACUAUUUACCGUUAUUAUUCCCUAUGGGGAGCCCUAUCGUCGGAAGGUAAAUGUCUCAAAUUUUUAUAUGGGCAGUUGCGUGUCAUCUACGUGAGAGUUUUUCGUGUGGAAGGUUUGACCUAACUACGUAAUAUAGGGGGAGAUAUGAGCGUUUUCGUGUGAUAAGUGACGAUGGAUUAGGGUUGCCGUUUCGAUCAAGCCCUUAACGUUGUCGGAUCGAGUUGAAUUUUUUACCAUAGACAUCUUUCGUCAUAAUGAUCAUAUCUGACGGUCAAAUUUCGGUUUGUGAAUCUUAAUCAUCGGAAUCACAACGUGUCUACUAAUGUUGUAUAACUUGUUUAGUAGGUUAUACAACUUUGUGAACCAACUCUACAUAGGAAGCAAAAUUAUCAAAAAUAUCGUGAAAUAAGAUGUGUUCAGAAUGGUGAAAUACGGCUAUGGUUCAAAAAUCACUUAAAUCGGGUAACGUCUCGGUGCCAAUAGUAGCGGUCAACCCUAUUUACAGUUAUUAUUCCCUAUGGGGAGCCCUAUCGUCGGAAGGUAAAUGUCUCAAAAUUUUUAUAUAAACGGUUGCGUCUCAUCUACGUAAAAGUUUUUCGUGUGGAAGGUUUGACCAAACUACGUAAUAUAGAGAGAGAUAUGAGCGUUUUCGUGAAUUUAUAGACUUUAGCCGACGAGAUAUUAAAAAAGUCGUCAGUUAAUGUCAAAAUUUUUUUGGCGGUAAACCAAAUUUGGAGAAAAAUUUUCAAAGAACUUUAGCCGACGAAAAUAUAUGAAAAGUCAUCGGCUAAAGUCGAAAAAUUUUCAACCAAAAUUUUUUGGCGAUCAACCAAAAUUUUCAAAAGAGUUUAGCCGACAAAAAUAAAUAAUUUCGUCAGGUAAAGUUCUUUAUAUAGGAGUUUUACCGAAUGUGGAUGGUAAGAAGUCAGAAAAUCAGAAAAAGUUCCGGAUUUUCUUCUCGGCCUAGCUCCGCCGUCAAUCCACCGGAGACCGCCACACUUAUCCCAAAAGCUUCGCCGUCGUCUCUACUUCAUUGCUGGACAGGUGGUGCAUCGAGUGGCGCCGCCGUAAGGGAUAAAUCGAGCUCCAAAACUCUGCCGGUUCGGAUUCGGUGUCGAUCGAAUUUCUCCUUCCUCAGGUCACCAUUUGGUGAGUUCUAUAUAUGGAUAAGUUGAGUUUGAUUAGUACUACAUUCCCCUAGAAUUUGGUAGCUCGAUUCGGUGUGUGUGAAGAGAAUCGAAGAUUUGAAGUUUUUAGGGUUUGAAAUUGGGGAUUUUUAUAUUUUGAUUCAAUUGACCUGUUUAGGCUUAGAAUUGGGCUUCGACUUCUUUUAGAAAGUUGUUCGAAAUGUUGAGAGGAAGAUUCUGUCAAAUUUUGGUGGUGAUUGGAGGUGGCCGAAAGAUUCUGCAGUUUUUUUUUUCAAAAACCAGCAACUUUAGCCGACGAUAUUUAAAUACUAUAUUCGUCGGCUAUAGUAUUUUUUAAUUUUUAUAAGGUUUAGCCGACGAAACAGACUAUAUUUCGUCAGUUAUAGUUAUUUUUAAAUUUUUAUAAGGUUUAGCCGACGAAACAGACUAUAUUUCGUCGGCUAUAGUUAUUUUUUAAAUUUUUUAUAAGGUUUAGCCGACGAAACAGAUUAUAUUUCGUCGGCUAUAGUUUGGGAAAAUUUUUUUUAUUUACAGACUUUAGCCGACGAAUAUCUUAAUAUUCGUCGGCUAAAGUCUGGGAAAAAAACCGACGACAUGUUUUCGUUGGCUAAAUUGUGGGACUAUAGCCGACGAAAUUUUUUUUUUCGUCGGCUAAAGUCAUUGUCGACGACCUUUUCCCGACGAAAUCUUAGCCGACGAUGGCUCGUCGGCUAAGAUCUUAGUCGACGAAUUAAGCUAACAGGCCGACGAAACUUUUUCGUCGGCUAAAGUGCUUGUCCUGGUAGUGAAAGCCAGUCCGCCCCACCAUUGCCUUGGGUUCCUCCGACGAAUUACCACCACGUCUUAGAUUAAGCUCGACGUCACUCUGCCGACCCAUCCACUCACGACCCUAAAGCCUCUAGGAUUAGGUCGGACAAAUCCGUUCCACCACUAACCCGCCUAAGCACCUCAGCACCGCCCUGAUCCAAAAGAGCCAGGUUCGCUCUACCAUCACUAGCCUCGAGCAUGACCCAAGCACAAUCCUUAACUUAGACACAAUCACCGCGCUCCGGCCAAUCUAGUGCGGCAACACCACCUAACCGACCGACUCCAAAGACCUCGACGUUAGCCGCUGCCUCCCAAGCUUGAUGGCCGCCAUUUCGGAAACACCCUCAGCAACCUCGGUCAAAAACCACAGUAACUAAAGCCGUUGAGAAAACUUGGUUUAGAUUCCGAUGUCGUAGCUUGAGUGAGCAUAUGUUGUUGUCAUCCCGCCACUUUUGAUCUGGUUAGCACAAAGCUCGCAACCAACUUCACGAAACCUAGGAACCUAGGUUUCGCUGGCUGUUCCAAUUAAGACGCUACGCAAGUUUUGGAGCAUCCUAGCUAGAUUGGCUUCCCCUAUAGUAAAUUUGUUCUUAAAAUUGUAAUUCUAAAUGAUAAAAAAGUGUAAUUUUUGUUCAAAUAGAUGUAAAAUGAGUCAUGAGUGUAUGAAAAAUAGUUCUCUCUAUGUCUAAAGAACUUCACGGCUUCUAUAUAACUGACUAAAAAUAAUAGGAACCCUAACAUUGUCUUGAACUACUCCACCUCGUUAGGUUCAAACUGUGGAUCUCAAAUAUAUAAAAUAUCUCUUGAGUAAAAUUCUCUACUGCUGAUAGACCAAAAUAGGGAUCCCAAUUAAAUUGCAUGAGCUUACGAGAAAAAAAAACUCUAUUGGAAUUGGUUUCUAUUUCAAAGACUUCUCUCAUCUUUUUAACUGUGAGAUUAUGAUCCUGGUUAUCAGUAUAUCUUAAAUAUAUCUAUCACUACCAUAAAAAAUCUCACAACCUCUCAUUGUAUCCACGAAAAUUCUCCAAGCAAUUCUUGUUAUGAAGAUUACUUGUUGGUCGUUUUUCUGAUAUAUCGGUUCAUCAAUAGUACAUGUUAAGCCUCCUUACUUCAAUUCAUCUUCUCCUUCCUCCUUGUUCAAGCAUGAAGAGACCAACUAGAAAUUCACCACCUGCCAAUUGGCUCAACCUUCUUCUAAAUUAAUAGUUAUGUUUCAUGUUGUUUC